This 440-nucleotide ribosomal RNA is filed under the name uncultured bacterium. RNAcentral's name for it is "partial 16S ribosomal RNA". It matches the Rfam family "Bacterial small subunit ribosomal RNA", at positions 339 to 795 of the family's 1533-position model. The record is from RNAcentral.
CUACGGGGGGCUGCAGCAAGGAAUAUUGCGCAAUGGGCGAAAGCCUGACGCAGCGACGUCGCGUGGGGGAUGAAGGUUUUCGGAUUGUAAACCCCUUUUCUGAGGGAAGAAUAAUGACGGUACCUCAGGAAUAAGUCUCGGCUAACUACGUGCCAGCAGCCGCGGUAAUACGUAGGAGGCAAGCGUUAUCCGGAUUCACUGGGCGUAAAGAGCGAGCAGGCGGCUUUUUAAGUCGGAUGUAAAAUCUCCUGGCUCAACCGGGAGGAGCCAUCCGAUACUGGGGAGCUAGAGUGCAGCAGAGGAAGGUGGAAUUCCCGGUGUAGUGGUGAAAUACGUAGAUAGCGGGAGGAACACCAGUGGCGAAGGCGGCCUUCUGGGCUGUAACUGACGCUGAGGAGCAAAGGCGUGGGGAGCAAACAGGAUUAGAUACCCUAGUAGUC